This 254-nucleotide ribosomal RNA is filed under the name uncultured bacterium. RNAcentral describes it as "partial 16S ribosomal RNA". It matches the Rfam family "Bacterial small subunit ribosomal RNA", at positions 524 to 776 of the family's 1533-position model. The record is from RNAcentral.
UACGUAGGGUGCAAGCGUUGUCCGGAAUUAUUGGGCGUAAAGAGCUCGUAGGCGGUCUGUCGCGUCGGCUGUGAAAUCCCGGAGCUCAACUCCGGGUCUGCAGUCGAUACGGGCAGACUGGAGUUCGGCAGGGGAGACUGGAAUUCCUGGUGUAGCGGUGAAAUGCGCAGAUAUCAGGAGGAACACCGGUGGCGAAGGCGGGUCUCUGGGCCGAUACUGACGCUGAGAAGCGGAAAGCAUGGGGAGCGAACAGG